CUACGGGACGCUCCAGUGAGGAAUAUUGCACAAUGGGGGGAACCCUGAUGCAGCAACGCCGCGUGGAGGAUGACGCAUUUCGGUGUGUAAACUCCUUUUAUAUGUCAAGAAAAUGACGGUAGCAUAUGAAUAAGCACCGGCUGAACUCCGUGCCAGCAGCCGCGGUAAUACGGAGGGUGCAAGCGUUACUCGGAAUCACUGGGCGUAAAGGACGCGUAGGCGGGUUGGAAAGUCAGGUGUGAAAUCCUACAGCUUAACUGUAGAACUGCACUUGAAACUUCUAAUCUAGAGUAUGGGAGGGGGAGAUGGAAUUAGUGGUGUAGGGGUAAAAUCCGUAGAUAUCACUAGGAAUACCUAAAGCGAAGGCGAUCUCCUGGAACAUUACUGACGCUAAGGCGUGAAAGCGUGGGGAGCAAACAGGAUUAGAUACCCCCGUAGUC
Molecule: ribosomal RNA, 440 nt
Filed under: uncultured bacterium
Lineage: Bacteria
Description: partial 16S ribosomal RNA
Rfam family: Bacterial small subunit ribosomal RNA
Source: RNAcentral